UACGUAGGUGGCAAGCGUUGUCCGGAGUUAUUGGGCGUAAAGCGCGCGCAGGCGGUGCGGUAAGUCUCUGGUGAAAGCGCUCGGCUUAACUGGGCGAGGGCCGGGGAGACUGCCACGCUGGAGGGGAGCAGAGGCGAGUGGAAUUCCGGGUGUAGUGGUGAAAUGCGUAGAGAUCCGGAGGAACACCAGUGGCGAAGGCGGUCUGCUGGGCAGUUUCUGACACUGAUGCGCGACAGCGUGGGGAGCAAACAGG
Molecule: ribosomal RNA, 253 nt
Filed under: uncultured bacterium
Lineage: Bacteria
Description: partial 16S ribosomal RNA
Rfam family: Bacterial small subunit ribosomal RNA
Source: RNAcentral